Molecule: ribosomal RNA, 689 nt
Filed under: uncultured Actinobacteridae bacterium
Lineage: Bacteria; Bacillati; Actinomycetota; Actinomycetes
Description: bacterial SSU rRNA
Rfam family: Bacterial small subunit ribosomal RNA
Source: RNAcentral
GUGGCGAACGGGUGAGUAACACGUGAGUAACCUGCCCUUGACUCUGGGAUAAGCGUUGGAAACGACGUCUAAUACCGGAUACGAGCUGGGACCGCAUGGUCACCAGCUGGAAAGAACUUCGGUCAAGGAUGGACUCGCGGCCUAUCAGCUAGUUGGUGGGGCAACGGCUCACCAAGGCGACGACGGGUAGCCGGCCUGAGAGGGUGACCGGCCACACUGGGACUGAGACACGGCCCAGACUCCUACGGGAGGCAGCAGUGGGGAAUAUUGCACAAUGGGCGCAAGCCUGAUGCAGCAACGCCGCGUGAGGGACGACGGCCUUCGGGUUGUAAACCUCUUUUAGCAGGGAAGAAGCGAAAGUGACGGUACCUGCAGAAAAAGCACCGGCUAACUACGUGCCAGCAGCCGCGGUAAUACGUAGGGUGCAAGCGUUGUCCGGAAUUAUUGGGCGUAAAGAGCUCGUAGGCGGUCUGUCGCGUCUGCUGUGAAAACCCGAGGCUCAACCUCGGGCCUGCAGUGGGUACGGGCAGACUAGAGUGCGGUAGGGGAGAUUGGAAUUCCUGGUGUAGCGGUGGAAUGCGCAGAUAUCAGGAGGAACACCGAUGGCGAAGGCAGAUCUCUGGGCCGUAACUGACGCUGAGGAGCGAAAGCGUGGGGAGCGAACAGGAUUAGAUACCCUGGUAGUCCAC